This 462-nucleotide ribosomal RNA is filed under the name uncultured bacterium. RNAcentral's name for it is "partial 16S ribosomal RNA". It matches the Rfam family "Bacterial small subunit ribosomal RNA", at positions 28 to 507 of the family's 1533-position model. The record is from RNAcentral.
GACGAACGCUGGCGGCGUGCUUAACACAUGCAAGUCGGGCGGUAAGGCCUUUCGGGGUACACGAGCGGCGAACGGGUGAGUAACACGUGGGUGAUCUGCCCUGCACUUCGGGAUAAGCCUGGGAAACUGGGUCUAAUACCGGAUAUGACCUCCUAUCGCAUGGUGGGUGGUGGAAAGAUUUAUCGGUGCAGGAUGGGCCCGCGGCCUAUCAGCUUGUUGGUGGGGUAAUGGCCUACCAAGGCGACGACGGGUAGCCGACCUGAGAGGGUGACCGGCCACACUGGGACUGAGACACGGCCCAGACUCCUACGGGAGGCAGCAGUGGGGAAUAUUGCACAAUGGGCGAAAGCCUGAUGCAGCGACGCCGCGUGAGGGAUGACGGCCUUCGGGUUGUAAACCUCUUUCAGCAGGGACGAAGCGCAAGUGACGGUACCUGCAGAAGAAGCACCGGCUAACUACGUG